Molecule: ribosomal RNA, 1469 nt
Filed under: Listeria welshimeri
Lineage: Bacteria; Bacillati; Bacillota; Bacilli; Caryophanales; Listeriaceae
Description: partial 23S ribosomal RNA
Rfam family: Bacterial large subunit ribosomal RNA
Source: RNAcentral
UUGGUUAAGUUAGAAAGGGCGCACGGUGGAUGCCUUGGCACUAGGAGCCGAAGAAGGACGGGACUAACACCGAUAUGCUUUGGGGAGCUGUACGUAAGCGUUGAUCCAGAGAUUUCCGAAUGGGGGAACCCACUAUCUUUAGUCGGAUAGUAUCCUUACGUGAAUACAUAGCGUGAGGAAGGCAGACCCAGGGAACUGAAACAUCUAAGUACCUGGAGGAAGAGAAAGAAAAAUCGAUUUCCUGAGUAGCGGCGAGCGAAACGGAAAGAGCCCAAACCAAGAAGCUUGCUUCUUGGGGUUGUAGGACACUCUAUACGGAGUUACAAAAGAAAGUUAUAAAUGAAGCGGUCUGGAAAGGCCCGCCAAAGACGGUAACAGCCCGGUAGUUGAAAUAGCUUUCCCUCCAGAGUGGAUCCUGAGUACGGCGGAACACGUGAAAUUCCGUCGGAAUCCGGGAGGACCAUCUCCCAAGGCUAAAUACUCCCUAGUGACCGAUAGUGAACCAGUACCGUGAGGGAAAGGUGAAAAGCACCCCGGAAGGGGAGUGAAACAGUUCCUGAAACCGUGUGCCUACAAGUAGUUAGAGCCCGUUAAUGGGUGAUAGCGUGCCUUUUGUAGAAUGAACCGGCGAGUUACGAUUUGUUGCAAGGUUAAGCGGAAAAAGCGGAGCCGUAGCGAAAGCGAGUCUGAAUAGGGCGCAUAAGUAACAGGUCGUAGACCCGAAACCAGGUGAUCUACCCAUGUCCAGGAUGAAGGUAAGGUAAUACUUACUGGAGGUCCGAACCCACGCACGUUGAAAAGUGCGGGGAUGAGGUGUGGGUAGCGGAGAAAUUCCAAUCGAACUUGGAGAUAGCUGGUUCUCUCCGAAAUAGCUUUAGGGCUAGCCUCGAGGUAAAGAGUCAUGGAGGUAGAGCACUGUUUGGACUAGGGGCCCUUCUCGGGUUACCGAAUUCAGAUAAACUCCGAAUGCCAUGUACUUAUACUCGGGAGUCAGACUGCGAGUGAUAAGAUCCGUAGUCGAAAGGGAAACAGCCCAGACCACCAGUUAAGGUCCCCAAAUAUAUGUUAAGUGGAAAAGGAUGUGGGGUUGCUUAGACAACCAGGAUGUUGGCUUAGAAGCAGCCACCAUUGAAAGAGUGCGUAAUAGCUCACUGGUCGAGUGACCCCGCGCCGAAAAUGUACCGGGGCUAAACAUAUUACCGAAACUGUGGAUGAACCUCUUCGGAGGUUCGUGGUAGGAGAGCGUUCUAAGGGCGGUGAAGUCAGACCGGAAGGACUGGUGGAGCGCUUAGAAGUGAGAAUGCCGGUAUGAGUAGCGAAAGAAGGGUGAGAAUCCCUUCCACCGAAUAUCUAAGGUUUCCUGAGGAAGGCUCGUCCGCUCAGGGUUAGUCGGGACCUAAGCCGAGGCCGAUAGGCGUAGGCGAUGGACAACAGGUAGAGAUUCCUGUACCAGUGCUAAUUGUUUAACC